CAGUAGCCGCGGUAAGACGAACCGUGCGAACGUUAUUCGGAAUCACUGGGCUUAAAGCGCGUGUAGGCGGGAGGGCACGUCCGUCGCUGAAAUCCCCCGGCUCAACCGGGGAACGGGCGCGGAUACGACUCUUCUGGAGGAACGUAGGGGGACCUGGAACUUCCGGUGGAGCGGUGAAAUGCGUUGAGAUCGGAAGGAACGCCCGUGGCGAAAGCGAGGUCCUGGACGUUUACUGACGCUGAGACGCGAAAGCCAGGGGAGCGAACGGGAUUAGAUACCCCGGUAGUCCCUGUCUCUUAUU
Molecule: ribosomal RNA, 301 nt
Filed under: uncultured bacterium
Lineage: Bacteria
Description: partial 16S ribosomal RNA
Rfam family: Bacterial small subunit ribosomal RNA
Source: RNAcentral